CUCAGGACGAACGCUGGCGGCGUGCCUAAUACAUGCAAGUCGAACGAACUCUGGUAUUGAUUGGUGCUUGCAUCAUGAUUUACAUUUGAGUGAGUGGCGAACUGGUGAGUAACACGUGGGAAACCUGCCCAGAAGCGGGGGAUAACACCUGGAAACAGAUGCUAAUACCGCAUAACAACUUGGACCGCAUGGUCCGAGUUUGAAAGAUGGCUUCGGCUAUCACUUUUGGAUGGUCCCGCGGCGUAUUAGCUAGAUGGUGAGGUAACGGCUCACCAUGGCAAUGAUACGUAGCCGACCUGAGAGGGUAAUCGGCCACAUUGGGACUGAGACACGGCCCAAACUCCUACGGGAGGCAGCAGUAGGGAAUCUUCCACAAUGGACGAAAGUCUGAUGGAGCAACGCCGCGUGAGUGAAGAAGGGUUUCGGCUCGUAAAACUCUGUUGUUAAAGAAGAACAUAUCUGAGAGUAACUGUUCAGGUAUUGACGGUAUUUAACCAGAAAGCCACGGCUAACUACGUGCCAGCAGCCGCGGUAAUACGUAGGUGGCAAGCGUUGUCCGGAUUUAUUGGGCGUAAAGCGAGCGCAGGCGGUUUUUUAAGUCUGAUGUGAAAGCCUUCGGCUCAACCGAAGAAGUGCAUCGGAAACUGGGAAACUUGAGUGCAGAAGAGGACAGUGGAACUCCAUGUGUAGCGGUGAAAUGCGUAGAUAUAUGGAAGAACACCAGUGGCGAAGGCGGCUGUCUGGUCUGUAACUGACGCUGAGGCUCGAAAGUAUGGGUAGCAAACAGGAUUAGAUACCCUGGUAGUCCAUACCGUAAACGAUGAAUGCUAAGUGUUGGAGGGUUUCCGCCCUUCAGUGCUGCAGCUAACGCAUUAAGCAUUCCGCCUGGGGAGUACGGCCGCAAGGCUGAAACUCAAAGGAAUUGACGGGGGCCCGCACAAGCGGUGGAGCAUGUGGUUUAAUUCGAAGCUACGCGAAGAACCUUACCAGGUCUUGACAUACUAUGCAAAUCUAAGAGAUUAGACGUUCCCUUCGGGGACAUGGAUACAGGUGGUGCAUGGUUGUCGUCAGCUCGUGUCGUGAGAUGUUGGGUUAAGUCCCGCAACGAGCGCAACCCUUAUUAUCAGUUGCCAGCAUUAAGUUGGGCACUCUGGUGAGACUGCCGGUGACAAACCGGAGGAAGGUGGGGAUGACGUCAAAUCAUCAUGCCCCUUAUGACCUGGGCUACACACGUGCUACAAUGGAUGGUACAACGAGUUGCGAACUCGCGAGAGUAAGCUAAUCUCUUAAAGCCAUUCUCAGUUCGGAUUGUAGGCUGCAACUCGCCUACAUGAAGUCGGAAUCGCUAGUAAUCGCGGAUCAGCAUGCCGCGGUGAAUACGUUCCCGGGCCUUGUACACACCGCCCGCCACACCAUGAGAGUUUGUAACACCCAAAGUCGGUGGGGUAACCUU
RNAcentral lists this ribosomal RNA (1453 nucleotides) under Lactiplantibacillus plantarum. RNAcentral describes it as "bacterial SSU rRNA". It matches the Rfam family "Bacterial small subunit ribosomal RNA". Lineage: Bacteria; Bacillati; Bacillota; Bacilli; Lactobacillales; Lactobacillaceae. The record is from RNAcentral.